AUGGCGGACGAGGAGCAGAUGGAGCGGAAGGAGGAGGCAACCGAGAUUGCACCUUUUGAUCCAACCAAGAAAAAGAAGAAGAAGAAGGUCGUCAUCCAAGAUCCUGCUGAUGAGGUUGAUAAGCUGGCAGAGAAGACGGAGGGCUUGUCAGUCACUGAGUCUGGUGAGGCAAGCUUCGUGGGAUUGAAAAAGAAAAAGAAGAAACUUGUGGAACUUGAUCCAUCACUUGUUGAGGCUGGAGAUGGUGAAGACACUCUUGAUGAUCAAGUUGGAGAGGAUGAACAAGGAGAAGGGAUUGUGCUGGGUGGAGCAACCCAAUACCCAUGGGAAGGAACUGAUAGAGAUUACAAAUAUGAUGAGCUGCUUGGCAGAGUCUUCAAUAUCCUGCGUGAGAAUAAUCCAGAUCUUGCUGGUGAUAGACGAAGAACAGUUAUGCGGCCUCCUCAAGUUCUUAGGGAAGGCACAAAGAAGACAGUUUUUGUGAACUUCAUGGACUUGUGCAAAACAAUGCAUAGGCAACCUGAACAUGUGAUGAUGUUUUUACUUGCUGAGAUGGGAACAAGUGGAUCCCUUGAUGGGCAACAAAGGUUGGUUAUCAAAGGAAGAUUUGCCCCGAAGAACUUUGAAGCUAUACUCAGGAGAUAUAUCAAUGAAUAUGUCAUAUGUAAUGGAUGCAAGAGCCCAGAUACCAUCCUUUCCAAGGAGAAUCGGUUGUUCUUCCUUCGUUGUGAACAAUGUGGUUCGUCAAGGUCAGUUGCUCCUAUCAAGGCUGGAUUCGUGGCGCAAGUUGGGCGUCGGAAGGCUGGAACUUAA
Molecule: ribosomal RNA, 813 nt
Filed under: Triticum aestivum (bread wheat)
Lineage: Eukaryota; Viridiplantae; Streptophyta; Magnoliopsida; Poales; Poaceae
Description: partial small subunit ribosomal RNA
Source: RNAcentral